RNAcentral lists this ribosomal RNA (1061 nucleotides) under Dragmacidon lunaecharta. RNAcentral's name for it is "eukaryotic LSU rRNA". It matches the Rfam family "Eukaryotic large subunit ribosomal RNA", at positions 58 to 902 of the family's 3401-position model. The record is from RNAcentral. Lineage: Eukaryota; Metazoa; Porifera; Demospongiae; Axinellida; Axinellidae.
AAAGAAACUAACAAGUAUUCCCGCAGUAACGGCGAGCGAAGUGGGAUGAGUUCGAGCCUGUAAUCUCUGGCAGUUUGCCAGCGAAUUGUGGCCGGGAGAGGUGGCUUGGUUCUGUCCUGCAGCGUCAAAGUUGACCUGGAAGGGCACGUCGAAGAGGGUGACAGCCCCGUUGUUGACCCUGCGGGUGCGGGCCUAGGCCGCCUUCCGAGAGUCGGGUUGUUUGGGAAUGCAGCCCAAAGUGGGUGGUAAACUCCAUCUAAAGCUAAACAUGGACACGAGACCGAUAGCGAACAAGUACCAUGAGGGAAAGGUGAAAAGCACUUUGAAAAGAGAGUCAAAAAGGCCGCGAAACCGUUAGGGGGGAAGCGAAUGCAGCCUGAUGGCUUCGUUCGGGUUCAGGGAGGGUUAGUCGAGCGUCUUGUGCUGGCCAACUCGCGAGAGUGGUCGGUGCAGUUUGGUCGGCGACCCCUCUGCAUUCCCGUCUUGGAGCCGACCAACGAGGGCGGUUGGUGACCGGCAGGCUGGAGGGCAGGUGCUUCGAAUGGCCCUUGGACCGUUUGAGAACUUACAGCCUCCAGUUGUGCCACGGUUUGCUAGCUGCCCAGGAGUUUGUGCGUCCUUCGCACAUGUCAGCGCAGGCUCCGCAGGGGCCGGGUCGCUUCUGGCCGUGUGGAAAGCGCGGCAAGGGACUGCUUGCAGUGUCUGCCGACGUUCCGUCUACUCGGGCGGGAGGCGGGCCACGACGUGCGCUGAAGUCGUUGGUUGAGGGAUGGCUUCAUCCGACCCGUCUUGAAACACGGACCAAGGAGUGCAAGAGGCGUGCGAGUCUUUGGGUGUUGAAACCCCGGGACGUAAUGAAAGUGAAGAGGGGCUUUUGUCCUUGGAGGCGAGAGCCGGUCCUUUGGCCGGCCCAUCGUCGACCGAUUCCGAUUCACUCUGUGGCGGGAUUCGAGUAAGAGCGUGUCUGUUGCGACCCGAAAGAUGGUGAACUAUGCCUGAAUAGGGCGAAGCCAGAGGAAACUCUGGUGGAAGCCCGCAGCGGUUCUGACGUGCAAAUCGAU